Molecule: ribosomal RNA, 754 nt
Filed under: uncultured bacterium
Lineage: Bacteria
Description: bacterial SSU rRNA
Rfam family: Bacterial small subunit ribosomal RNA
Source: RNAcentral
UUCUUUAUCACCGAGUGCUUGCACUCACCGAUAAAGAGUUGAGUGGCGAACGGGUGAGUAACACGUGGGCAACCUGCCCAAAAGAGGGGGAUAACACUUGGAAACAGGUGCUAAUACCGCAUAACCAUAGUUACCGCAUGGUAACUAUGUAAAAGGUGGCUAUGCUACCGCUUUUGGAUGGGCCCGCGACGCAUUAGCUAGUUGGUGGGGUAAAGGCUUACCAAGGCAAUGAUGCGUAGCCGAACUGAGAGGUUGAUCGGCCACAUUGGGACUGAGACACGGCCCAGACUCCUACGGGAGGCAGCAGUAGGGAAUCUUCCACAAUGGGCGAAAGCCUGAUGGAGCAACGCCGCGUGGGUGAAGAAGGUCUUCGGAUCGUAAAACCCUGUUGUUAGGGAAGAAAGUGCGUGAGAGUAACUGUUCACGUUUCGACGGUAUCUAACCAGAAAGCCACGGCUAACUACGUGCCAGCAGCCGCGGUAAUACGUAGGUGGCAAGCGUUAUCCGGAUUUAUUGGGCGUAAAGAGAACGCAGGCGGUCUUUUAAGUCUGAUGUGAAAGCCUUCGGCUUAACCGGAGUAGUGCAUUGGAAACUGGGAGACUUGAGUGCAGAAGAGGAGAGUGGAACUCCAUGUGUAGCGGUGAAAUGCGUAGAUAUAUGGAAGAACACCAGUGGCGAAAGCGGCUCUCUGGUCUGUAACUGACGCUGAGGUUCGAAAGCGUGGGUAGCAAACAGGAUUAGAUACCCUGGUAGU